CGUGACUCCAUGAACUGCGGAAGGGUCCAUCAUCUGGUGCUUCCUCGCCCGUCGGAGAUUAGCCUUGAACACUUUGAAUCGGUGGUCGUGCUCUUCCUGCGUGGCAUAGUUCUUCCCAAAUUUAGACUUGAAAGUAGUGAAAUGGUGCUCGGCGUUAAGGAGGUGAUCCACGGCUUCCGGCACGACUUGGCGAAUCAAAGGAUCCUCGACCUCAU
This 215-nucleotide unclassified non-coding RNA is filed under the name Hevea brasiliensis (rubber tree). The record is from RNAcentral. Lineage: Eukaryota; Viridiplantae; Streptophyta; Magnoliopsida; Malpighiales; Euphorbiaceae.